GAUGAAGAACGUAGCGAAAUGCGAUAAGUAAUGUGAAUUGCAGAAUUCAGUGAAUCAUCGAAUCUUUGAACGCACAUUGCGCCCCUUGGUAUUCCGAGGGGCAUGCCUGUUCGAGCGUCAUUAUAACCCCUCAAGCUCAGCUUGGUGUUGGGGCCUGCCGCGCGGGCAGCCCUUAAAAUCAGUGGCGGUGCCAUCUGGCUCUAAGCGUAGUAAUUCUUCUCGCUAUAGAGUCCCGGUGGAUGCUUGCCAUUAACCCCCAAUUUUCUAUGGUUGACCUCGGAUCAGGUAGGGAUACCCGCUGAACUUAAGCAUAUCAAUAAGCGGAGGA
Molecule: unclassified non-coding RNA, 328 nt
Filed under: soil metagenome
Description: partial contains 5.8S ribosomal RNA, internal transcribed spacer 2, and large subunit ribosomal RNA
Rfam family: 5.8S ribosomal RNA (bases 1-120)
Source: RNAcentral